RNAcentral lists this ribosomal RNA (555 nucleotides) under Rhacophorus sp. ZFMK-71365. RNAcentral describes it as "partial 16S ribosomal RNA". It matches the Rfam family "Bacterial large subunit ribosomal RNA", at positions 1838 to 2610 of the family's 2925-position model. The record is from RNAcentral. Lineage: Eukaryota; Metazoa; Chordata; Amphibia; Anura; Rhacophoridae.
GAUAGCUAUAAGAGGUCCAGCCUGCCCAGUGAUAAAUUCAACGGCCGCGGUAUCCUAACCGUGCGAAGGUAGCAUAAUCACUUGUUCUUUAAAUAGGGACUCGUAUCAACGGCAUCACGAGGGUUACACUGUCUCCUCUUUCCAAUCAGUGAAACUGAUCUUCCCGUGAAGAAGCGGGAAUGAACUAAUAAGACGAGAAGACCCCAUGGAGCUUUAAACCUCACAGCAACUCUAACAUAUAUUUCCCCAUAACCCGCAGAGCAAUGCUAGUCGGUUUUAGGUUGGGGUGACCGCGGAGCAAAAACUACCCUCCACGACGAACAGAACUAAAUCUUUAUCCAAGAGCAACCACUCUAAGAACUAGCACACUAACGUAUCAUGACCCGAUAAUCGAUCAACGGACCAAGUUACCCUGGGGAUAACAGCGCAAUCUGCUUCAAGAGCCCAUAUCGACAAGCAGGCUUACGACCUCGAUGUUGGAUCAGGGUACCCCAGUGGUGCAGCCGCUACUAACGGUUCGUUUGUUCAACGAUUAAAACCCUACGUGAUCUGAGU